RNAcentral lists this ribosomal RNA (465 nucleotides) under Vreelandella stevensii. Its description in RNAcentral is "partial 16S ribosomal RNA". It matches the Rfam family "Bacterial small subunit ribosomal RNA", at positions 338 to 795 of the family's 1533-position model. Lineage: Bacteria; Pseudomonadati; Pseudomonadota; Gammaproteobacteria; Oceanospirillales; Halomonadaceae. The record is from RNAcentral.
CCUACGGGAGGCAGCAGUGGGGAAUAUUGGACAAUGGGGGGAACCCUGAUCCAGCCAUGCCGCGUGUGUGAAGAAGGCCCUCGGGUUGUAAAGCACUUUCAGUGAGGAAGAACGCCUGGUGGUUAAUACCCAUCAGGAAAGACAUCACUCACAGAAGAAGCACCGGCUAACUCCGUGUCAGCAGCCGCGGUAAUACGGAGGGUGCGAGCGUUAAUCGGAAUUACUGGGCGUAAAGCGCGCGUAGGUGGCUUGAUAAGCCGGUUGUGAAAGCCCCGGGCUCAACCUGGGAACGGCAUCCGGAACUGUCAAGCUAGAGUGCAGGAGAGGAAGGUAGAAUUCCCGGUGUAGCGGUGAAAUGCGUAGAGAUCGGGAGGAAUACCAGUGGCGAAGGCGGCCUUCUGGACUGACACUGACACUGAGGUGCGAAAGCGUGGGUAGCAAACAGGAUUAGAUACCCGAGUAGUC